GGGGUCUUGGCACAGUGGUAGCGCGCAUGCUUCGCAUUACUGGCGUCUGCAUGAGGUCGUGAGUUCAAUCCUCACAGUCUCCA
Molecule: transfer RNA, 83 nt
Filed under: Sphagnurus paluster
Lineage: Eukaryota; Fungi; Basidiomycota; Agaricomycetes; Agaricales; Lyophyllaceae
Description: Tephrocybe palustris tRNA
Rfam family: tRNA
About the family: Transfer RNA (tRNA) molecules are approximately 80 nucleotides in length. Their secondary structure includes four short double-helical elements and three loops (D, anti-codon, and T loops).
Source: Rfam by way of RNAcentral